GGAUGUUCGCCGGUGCCGGUGGUGCGUUGGGUCACCCUCCUCCGGAUUCUCCCACCUUAGAUUCUUCCGAGCAGGUCUAUAUCUCCUCCCUCGCGCUCCUCAAGAUGCUCAAGCACGGAAGAGCUGGGGUUCCCAUGGAGGUAAUGGGUUUGAUGCUGGGAGAGUUUGUUGACGAGUACACGGUUCGUGUUGUUGACGUCUUUGCUAUGCCCCAAAGUGG
This 220-nucleotide unclassified non-coding RNA is filed under the name Hevea brasiliensis (rubber tree). Lineage: Eukaryota; Viridiplantae; Streptophyta; Magnoliopsida; Malpighiales; Euphorbiaceae. The record is from RNAcentral.